UUAAAUUGAAGAGUUUGAUCAUGGCUCAGAUUGAACGCUGGCGGCAGGCCUAACACAUGCAAGUCGAACGGUAACAGGAAACAGCUUGCUGUUUCGCUGACGAGUGGCGGACGGGUGAGUAAUGUCUGGGAAACUGCCUGAUGGAGGGGGAUAACUACUGGAAACGGUAGCUAAUACCGCAUAACGUCGCAAGACCAAAGAGGGGGACCCUCGGGCCUCUUGCCAUCGGAUGUGCCCAGAUGGGAUUAGCUUGUUGGUGGGGUAACGGCUCACCAAGGCGACGAUCCCUAGCUGGUCUGAGAGGAUGACCAGCCACACUGGAACUGAGACACGGUCCAGACUCCUACGGGAGGCAGCAGUGGGGAAU
This 367-nucleotide ribosomal RNA is filed under the name Escherichia coli. RNAcentral describes it as "bacterial SSU rRNA". It matches the Rfam family "Bacterial small subunit ribosomal RNA", at positions 1 to 362 of the family's 1533-position model. Lineage: Bacteria; Pseudomonadati; Pseudomonadota; Gammaproteobacteria; Enterobacterales; Enterobacteriaceae. The record is from RNAcentral.